CUGGGUCGUCCCAUGCAAGUUUCUAGUUUCUAAAGUUUCAAAAAAGAUACAUUUAGCAAACUUUGCGAAAUUCCUGACAAGCAUAAAGAGCUCUUGAUACGUUGGUCUGGUGUCCCUGUAAAUCACAAGAGAGGUAAACAGAAUUGAGUUGAAUCAAUGAUUUGUCGGCGGGAGACUUUGAAUUUGCGCGGGCUGUCCCAGAAGAGUUUUCAAAAACGCUUUGCAGAUCCCAAGACGACAUUUUAUAUUGUUUCAUUCUCUCCAUUCGCUGGUCUCCGUGGAAUGUGGACAUAUAAAUACUUUGGAUCUCCAUCUGCUCGUUCUUUGCCUUUCAAGCUCAGUACUCGAAAGUAGAUCCAUAACACCUUUAGGCAAAUUUAGGCCCACAAAAUGCAACAAACUUGUAGCUGAUAUCAGGUACGUUGUUUGUGUAUUAUUGUAGAAGGAUUACCAAAUAAUUUAGGGAUAUUAUUUUAAAAUUUAAUUUGAUAAUUGCAAUUUUCUAGUUUCUAGUUUUUUCCUUGAAAUCUUAACAUUUUGUCUUUAUAAGUAAUUGGAUAUAAUUGCUGUCAAAGGAUGCUCAAGAGUCAAAAAAAGUUUUAGCCUAUUUCAAAUUCUGACAGUGUUUUGGCAUCAUAAGUGAAUAAAUAUAUUUCGGAAAUGUUUGAAAGUUCAGUUAUAUGAUUGGAAAAAAAUUCAAAGAAAAAUUUGGUUUGAAUUUUUGAUUAAUUUUCUGGUAAGGAAUAAUUUUCACAUCUGUAAAAAAUGUACACAAGUUAAUUUCUGUUACAUAUAAAAGCACUUGUAGAGGUCAGCCUUGAUAAAACAUAGAACAAUGCAAUGCAAUCAUUAUUUGAAUUUCUUAAACUUUCUCAAAUUUCUAUGUUUUGUCAAAAAUUCAAGCAAAUUUAUCAUUGACUUAUCUUGAAACUGAAUCCAUUUUCAAGAAAUUAUGUCUUGGACGUAAAAGUUUCAAUUGCCCCUUGGAUUUACUUAAGUUGUUUUGACUUGGAUUUGAUGGUGUUGAUUUGGAUCUGUGUUGAUGGUGGUUAUGGUUUCGUAUUUAGGGACUGGUGCUUUUGUGGUUUCAUGAAGGUGGAAGUUGUGGUAGUUAAGACAUCUUUGGUAAUCCAAGGGGCAUAAUCACAAAUACAUUAAUUUUUUCCAAGUUUAGAAAAUGGAUCUGUUCCAUGAAAAGUCAUCUUGUUAACAACAUAUUUGCAGCAAAAAAUUUGAAAUCCUUUGAUAUCUUUUUUGGCAUUUUAAAACGAACUAUUUGAAGAAUCCUUUGAUAUCUUUUGUCAAAGUUACUCGCAUCAAAUGGUACCAGUGUUCAGAUUAAAAGAUAUUUGAACUUGAUAAAUGCUGCUUUCAAUUUGCACAUUAUCAAGCAAACACACUUUUCAAUUUCUCAGUACUUUUGUUUGUACAUGUGAGGCAGCAGAGUGCAACUUCAACAUGAUAAGCUGAAACUUAACUAGCUAGGUACCCAGUUUGUACCUUAUUUUUCUGUCUCCAGAUUUAUCAAAACAAACAUGAAGUUUGGGGUUAUUUCCAGGCCAUUUCACUUCAAAAUUUCAGAUAUAAUGGGUCUAUUUAAUUUACUCAAAAGAUUUACCCAAGAGAAAGUAAAUUUGUUGAUGCAUUUUCAAAGAACAGAAACUGAGUUGCUUAUUCUUUGACAAUGUUGCAUUAGCAUUUCCUCAAAGCAAUGGAAAAUAUGCCUGAUUAAAUAUAUGCAAUCAUAAUUUUGUUUGCACUAUUAUCCAUAAUGUAUGAAAUAUCUUAAAUCUUAGAAUGAGACAACACUUUGAAAUAUUGGUGAACUUUUUAAUUCAAUUAUUGCUACAAAAUCAUCUCAAUAAAUAUAAUCAAUGUACUUAGAAACAUUUUGCAUUUGAGUAUUCCUCAUUUCUCAUUUCUUUUACUCUCUUCUUUUUCAGGUUUUAGUGCUCCUUUUUGACAAUUUUUGGAUCAAUUUUUCAACUACACAUAAAUUUUCUACAAAAUAUCUUGUACUCUAAUGAUUCUUUGUCCUACAGCUUUAAUAAGACACAAUUCAUUGACAGAGUGCAAAACAGAGAAUCUUUUGUUCAAUUCCUUUUGACCCUUACUAUCUUAAAUCAAACAUUUCACAUGCUGAUGAAGCAUAUGGACAUGGUUCAAAAUGUUAAUUGUCAAAAGGGGAUCAGAAAAAUUGCUGCUUCCAUAAGACAGGUCAUUGACAGAUGGCAAAAACAAAUGAUGUCCUAUUUGACUCACUUUUGACCUUCACCAUCUUAAAUACAACGUUUCACAUGCUGUUGGAGCAUACGGACAUGGUUCAAACUCAACUCUCGAGUUUAGAUUGGCAAGAGGAUAAGAAAAAUUGCUGAAUAUAAACAAAGCGUAAAAGAAGUGGAAGAAGAUUGCUGUUGAAAGAGAGAACUGAGGACAUGACAAGUUAAGUUUUAUUCUAUUUCAAUUUUUAUAUAUUAAAUAGCCUAAUGUGUUUUGGAAAUAUAUUUUAUAUCUUAACUAGGACUAUUUUUCAACAAUUUAAGUAGGCCUACCACUUGGAUUGUGUUUUUUAUCAAUUAAGAAGGCUAUGUGCUCUAAAACUGUUGCGAAUUAGCUGUGUCCUUAGAAUUGGCAAAAUGACAAACUGGCUCGACAAAAUUAGAAUGAGCCUUUUGGUAUAGAUAAUUAGCUUAAAAUUUAACAGCAUUCUUACUUUUCGCGGUAUCGUAAAUGGGUUAUUAAAUAAAAGUAUUUAGAGGUCUUAGCUUCAAAGAAAUUCUCUGAUUGUCAAUAUUUAUGUUAUUAUGAACGUUUUCGAAAUUAUAUUGACAGUUUUAAAAGUGUUUUAUGAAAAUUAGAGUGAAAUUUUUUAAUAAACUGUUACUCGACUUAUUUUGACAUGGCAGGGCUCUAGGCAGUAUAAGUAGGUACAAAAUGUGUCCAAUGUAGGGUUUAAGUAUCAGAGUAGGUUUCUUGGCAAAUAGAGAAGCUUAACUAGGUUGAGGUAAUUUUUAGAAGGUAGUAUUCAUUCUUAUAGAAAUUUGUUAUAUCUUGAAUGGUUUCUACAAAAGAGACCUUUGUUUUGGUACUUCUAAUAACAGUUAUUUCAAAGUGCUUGCAGAUAUUUCAGUCUCCAUUUGCUGGCCAUUGGUUUGAGGUUCUGAGUUGUUCGAUGAUAUGAUUGUGUUGGUAUGGUGGUUUGGUAGUCGUUGUAAUUGAUAAAUUGGUUGAUUUGGUGUUGAAGAGGCGACCCAGUACCGUGGAGAAUGUUUUACUGCAAGCACUAAAUCAAAAUCAAUUGCUAAAACGUGCAAUUUUUGAGAAAAAACGAUCAUAGAUGUCGAAGUACCAGCUUUAAAAAUUGACCCAAAAUGUAUCUUUAAUGUCUUUUAAAAGGAAAGGCAAGAUUACACCAAUCUUAUGGUCUAUCACAUAGUUUUAGUUAUUUUGUUCAUGUCCUCAUGUCUUUUUGGCGAAAAACGAAUAUUGAAUUAGUGCAGAUACUCAGUUCCCGAGAAAAAAGUGAAAAUCUAGAUCCCACUGCUUUCAUAGCAUAAAUAGGCUAAAGAAAUAUGAUGAAAUUUCAGGCACAAAAUGGAAAUUAUGGGAGGGGUGUUUUUUAAAUCUAAUCCAUUUUAAAGUAAAACCGAAAUAAUUAAAAGAAUCAAAAUGUUGUUUCUCAUCAAAGGUAGAACUUGACUUGCAUGGAGACAGUAGGUCUCUUGAGAAAAACAGAAACGUGAUUGCACGAGAAAUGGCACUCUUUUUUAUGCAGUGUGAAUAGAAUGCAAAGUGUAAUGAUUAUAGGCUUGGAUGAUUCCGUCGCUGAGAAAGUAAACAAGGAUAUCUAAGACUAACUUUUACCACGUGCAUGCAUUUCGGAUCUUGUAAUUUUAUUUAUUGCUUCAUGGACGAUUCUUCUUCGAUUUUGCUGGCUUCUUGUUUAUUUUUUGCAGACCGCAGCAAGAUUUGAAGGCAGCCAUAUUGCCGAAGCUGAAUUAAUUGUGAAGAUGGAAGAUACAAGAACACUAUAUCGAUAUAUUGGACUUUUAUUGAAAAGACUUUGUUGUUAGUUUGUAAUUUGCAAUCGGUACUUUCUCGCUAAUUUCGCUCGCAUCCAAAACCAAGAUUUUUGCUACAAGAGGUGACCCGAAGGAGCAUUGCCACAUAUAUUAUGAUAAUCAAGAUUUCGAUUCAAAGAAGCUAAGAGACAAUUUAUGACAUAUUAUUUUCGCACUGUGAAGGAUAGGAUUCGAAUCGAGUUUCCAGGUAAAGAAAUUUACACCUUGCAUAUGUACCCGUACCCUACAGGUAAUUUCAGUCAUUGUAAUUUUGCACAUAUCCACUUCCCGCACCCUCUCAACUAAGUCGAUUAGAGAAUAUAUAACCCCUCUUCGAAUCCAAGAUCUCUAGCUUAUAGAUAGACUAUUAAGCAUCCCCUCCAUUUUCAGUAGCUCAUUUUAGUAAAUUAAACCAUAAGAUAAUCGAUAUAGGACUGCUUACGACCCUACCCUUCUCCAUAGAACCCUCUUUAUCAUAAUCGUAGUUUAAUAUCGUAUUGCGAGAGAGUAUCGAUACUUCGUUAGGUUAAUAAUUUCUAGUUAGUCAUUUUGUAACAUUUGAAGGCAUAUUCUUCUAAUGGGUGUGAACAAGGCGCCUGUUCGCAUCUGUUUUUAGAAUAGGCUUUCCUCGUUUAAUUAGUUUGUAUUUGUAUUUUAAUGUAUUUAAUUAGUUGCUUAGGAGACUGUUUUCGGUGUUAUGUUAGUGGUUAUGUUAGCACGGUGUUUUAAUCGAGGGGUUAACGGGAAGGAGUUCUUCUCUUUUUUGUUGACCCUUUGCUUAAAACACCAUGUUAACAUAACCCCUAACAUAACAUACGAAGGGUUUUCUUGGCAGGGUGUUUUAAUCGAAGGGUUAACAAGGGGGAAUUCUUUUCCUUCUUGUUAACCCUUUGCUUAAAACACCAUGCUUAGACAAACCCCUUUCGAAAACAGUCUCCUCGGCACUUAGGUAGAACUUAACAUUGUAAGUAGAGUAAGAUCGCUUGAAUGAAGAGGAGAAAAUCGAGCAAAAAUUCUUUCUGACCCCCGUCUUUUGACCGGUCCAAACGAGGCUAUAACCCCCCGUCUUCAGUGGGCAUCAAAACGAGGCAGAUCGGGUUGAAAUGAGCGAAUCUGAUUGGUUUAAAACAAUUGAAAAGACAAUAGAAGUAUCUAAAUGAUGAUUGGUCAGAGAACAAUAGAAAAUUUGAAUUGAAGGGCUCUGAUUGGUUAGUCAACAAUAGAGUGAGACCGAAAUGGCUCAAUUUGAUUGGUCGAAAGACAAUGGUGGCCGCCAGUGGCCGCUGUUUCCUAAAUUUUCGCUAUAUUCUAGGUGACGGCCCUCGCCCGCAGCCACCAAAAGGGCUCAAAUGGAGCAAUCUGAUUGGUUGAAAACAAUGACCUGUCAAUCAUUUACGGCUCCCAGCCGCAUUUUUAGAGCCACCGUUUAGGGGCAUGGCCGCCGUAUAAG
Long non-coding RNA from Rhopilema esculentum, 5511 nucleotides. RefSeq lists it as uncharacterized. The record is from RefSeq and is a predicted model, not a curated record. NCBI's taxonomy places the organism in Eukaryota, Metazoa, Cnidaria, Scyphozoa, Rhizostomeae, Rhizostomatidae.